CAGUCAGUCGCGGGGACGACGCCGGCCGAGCGCCACGCUAGCACGCCACGCUCUCCGCAGGGGAAGAUGAGCGUGCCGGCAUGAGGCAAGCCGCGGCUGCUCGCUGGGCUGUGGCGCUGCUGCUCGCCGCCGUCCUCACGGGCAGGGACAUGUGCUGGGAGGUGCGGCCGCUGGCGGAGGAGGUGCGCGCGCUGUCCGGCGCGGUGCCGCUGCAGCUGGAG
Molecule: long non-coding RNA, 221 nt
Organism: Schistocerca serialis cubense
Lineage: Eukaryota; Metazoa; Arthropoda; Insecta; Orthoptera; Acrididae
Exons: 3
Source: RefSeq, a predicted model, not a curated record